Long non-coding RNA from Macaca fascicularis (crab-eating macaque), 2235 nucleotides. The record is from Ensembl. Lineage: Eukaryota; Metazoa; Chordata; Mammalia; Primates; Cercopithecidae.
UUUUUUUUUUUUUCUUUUCACCAUAGUGCACGUGUCUUUAUUUCUGGAUGAUAUAAAAGAAAAAACUUAAAAAACACCCCAAACCAAACACCAGUGGAUCCCCAAAGCAAUGUGAUUCCCUCAUCCCACCCGGAUAAAUAGAGACUUCUGUCAGUCUACCCUUCCGCCCCCAUAAACCCCUCUGCUGUAGACAUACUCUGGGUAUAUAUUACUCUACUUGGCAAUAGACAUCUACCGAAAAUAGAAUUCCUGCCCUGACACCUGACUCUUCCCUGGCCUCAUCAGACCACCCGCCACUGUAGCACACUGGUGUCCUUGCCCCCCGUGGUCAGGGCCAUGCUGUCAUCCCACAAGAAGGCCACAUUUGUCACGUGGCUGCUAUGUCCACCGUACUUGUGGCUGAGGGCUCGAGGCUGACAGCACGGGUAGCUAAACAGGUGAACUUUGCCAAAGUCAUCAGCUGAAGCCAGCAACUUCCCAUCAUGGGAGCAGGCCACAGUGUUGAUAUCAGUGCCAUCCGCCCCCUUGGACCAGAUCCCAAACACCCCAAACCCCAGGACACAAGUAGCUGUGGCCCAUUCCACGUUCCUCACAGCAUCUGCACUGGUGAUCUGCUUAUAGGUAGCCGGGUCCCAAUACAGAAUCUCAUAGUCCCCGGAGUUGGUGACAAAGCAGCUGCUGUCCUGGGCCCAAUCCAGGUAGGUGAUAAAACUGGAAUGGCCCGAGCACUUGCCCAGGCGGCUGACCUUGCGGCCGCCCUGGUCCACCGUGUACACGUACACCAAGUUGUCGUGGGAGCCCACGGCCAGGUACGCCCCGUCUGGGGAUAAUUUGACCACUGAGAUCUGUUCAUUGCCGUCUGUGUGGAUAGCCACCAGGUCAUGGGUCUCCGUGUCCACAGCAGCCAUCUGCCAGUCACUGUACCCACAGCCAGGACAGAGCCACUGGGGUGGAAGCCGGCUGAGCGGGCAGGGUCCUCGAUAAUCCUGCUCCACAGGGGCUGGUGGGACUCUGAGCUCCACAGAUGCACCAGCUUAUCCUGCCCGCAGGUCACAAACUGGGCCUGACUAGGGUGUGUGGCCAGGCCCCACAGCUCUUCCACAUGGCCCUGGACCAGCAGCAAGAAGCCCGUGUGCACGGAGCCCUGCAGGAUGGAAUUGCGGGUGGUCCCCACGAACAGUGUGUCUCCGUGGCCCUCUGCCACAGUGCGCACAGGGCCAAAGUCCUCGGGGACCUCCACUUCCUGCAGCUUGCUGUCGUCAGAACCUCAGAGGACCACCUGCCGAUCACGGCCCCCUCCGGACACCAGCGUCCCAUCCCGCAGGGUGCAGAGCCCAAACACGCCACCGUCAUGGGCGCCCAGCGCACCGUCUGUGUGAUACGGUUCCCACCUUUGCCCCAAACAUAGAGGUUACCCCCAGAGUCCCCCGUGACCACGUCGCCACCUUCCAAAAAGGUCACACACAGCACAUACUUCGAUUUCUCAUGUUUCUCAAAGAGGCCUUGCCGCUUGCUCAAGCUGCCCCCCUCCAAGGUCCAGAAGUAGAUGUGAGUUUUCCUGCAGGUGAUAAGCACAGUGGGGUCCGUGGGGUGGAAGGUGGCCACCAAUACAGCCUCGUUGGAGCACUUAACAUCCACCACCUUGGUCUCCUUGGCCCAGUCCCACACCGAGAGCAUGUGAUCAUUGGAUUCAUCUACUGCGCACAGCAGGUUGCCCCCAUUAGAUUUGGAGAAGCCCACACAGCACACGGCUCUGUCAAACACCCCCAAGCCCAGCACGUGUAAGGUGGAGAGGGAAACUGAGUCCCAGAUGCACAUGUGGGGUGGCAGUGGCUUCCCUUCCUUAGUGGUGCCCGCCACCUGUCCCGUGGCGAUGGUGACCAUAUCCGGGUGGAUGGCCAAGCAUUUGAUGUCAUCAUUGUGUCCCAGGUAGUGUCGCUGCCCCUGCUCCUCCACGAUGUAUAGCACAGCCACAGAGGCCACAAAGUAUACUAUCUCCCCGGUGGGUAGCAAAUAAAGGUUGGCCCGGCAGUCUCGGCCACGGUAGCCAUAGACCCAGUCCAGCUUGAGCCGGCAAGAAGGCAGCUCCGAGCGUGUGUCCAGGCUAUAGGUGGGUGCCAGCUCAUCUGGGAUCAGCAUGGGCACAGGGUGGCCCCUCAGGAACAUUUUCACGGAGCCAUCCUCCACACUGAAGAUAACUUCUUUGGUUUUGCCAGCUCCAAAGCUACUCAUGGC